This 135-nucleotide microRNA precursor is filed under the name Hordeum vulgare. RNAcentral describes it as "microRNA MIR1122". It matches the Rfam family "MIR1120/MIR1122 microRNA precursor family". The record is from RNAcentral. Lineage: Eukaryota; Viridiplantae; Streptophyta; Magnoliopsida; Poales; Poaceae.
UUUAUACUUCCUUCGUUUAAAAUUUUUGUUUUAAAUUUAUCUAGAUAUGAAUGUAUCUAGUCAUGUUUUACUAUUUUGAUACAUUCAUUUUUAGACAAACCUAAGACAAGAAUUUUAGGAUGAAGAGAGUAUAUU